GCGAAAGGGAAUCAGGUUAAUAUUCCUGAACCAAGUAUCGAAGUACGGUAACGUAAACUGUCCCGGAGACGGGUAGAGUUUUCUUUUCCUUUGAAUCGAGUUGUUCGGAGACGAGGAAAGCUUGCCAUGUUUUGAUGGUAACUGGCCCAUGAAAAUCCGGGUGAGAUAUUUUUGAUACUUGGCCGUACCGAAACCGCAUCAGGUCUCCAAGGUGAGUAGCCUCUGGUUAUGGAAUAAAAUUGGUAAGGGAAGUCGGCAAAAUAGAUCCGUAACUUUGGGAAAAGGAUUGGCUCUAAGGGUGUGUGGAAGGAGUUUCCUCAGUGGCACCAACUUAGAACUGUUACUACAAGGGGAAUCCGACUGUCUAAUUAAAACAAAGCUUUGCGAAAGUGAUACUUCAUUUUGACGCAAAGUGAUUUCUGCCCAGUGCUUUGACUGUCAAAUUGUUGAAAAACAACCAAGCACAUGUUAACGGCGGAGGUAACUAUGACCUUCUUAAGAUAGCCAAAUGCCUCGUCAUCUAAUUAGUGACGUGCAUGAAUGGAUCAACGUGAUUCCCACUGUCCCUACCUUUUAUCCAGCGAAACCACAGUCAAGGGAACGGGCUUGACUUGGACAGCGGGGAAAGAAGACCCUGUUGAGCUUGACUCUAGUUUGUUGUUGUGAGGCGACUCAAGAGAUGUAGUUAUAAGUGGGACGACGGUGAAAUACCACUGCUUUUGACGUCGCCACACUCAGCGGGUGAUUGCGCAAAAGCGACAGCAACAAAUGGGGAGUUUGACUGGGGCGGUACAUCCUUAAAAAUGCAACGAGGGUGUCCUAAGGCGGGCUCAUGGUGGACGGAAACCACCAGUAGAGCGAAAGGGCAAAAGCCCGCUUGAUUCAAACCUUCAGUAGUGGUGAGAACCGCGAAAGCGUGGCCUAUCGAUCCUUCUCAGAGUCUGAGGACAGGGGUGUCAGAAAAGUUACCACAGGGAUAACUGGCUUGUGGC
This 992-nucleotide ribosomal RNA is filed under the name Ceratomyxa longipes. Its description in RNAcentral is "LSU rRNA". It matches the Rfam family "Eukaryotic large subunit ribosomal RNA", at positions 1594 to 2841 of the family's 3401-position model. Lineage: Eukaryota; Metazoa; Cnidaria; Myxozoa; Bivalvulida; Ceratomyxidae. The record is from RNAcentral.